CUGAAGAUUGUUGAUCAAUUGUUGACUUUGAGAGAAAUAGGUGAACCUGCGGAAGGAUAUUAA
This 63-nucleotide ribosomal RNA is filed under the name uncultured Clavulina. RNAcentral's name for it is "partial 18S ribosomal RNA". Lineage: Eukaryota; Fungi; Basidiomycota; Agaricomycetes; Cantharellales; Hydnaceae. The record is from RNAcentral.